Molecule: non-coding RNA, 126 nt
Organism: Triticum aestivum (bread wheat)
Lineage: Eukaryota; Viridiplantae; Streptophyta; Magnoliopsida; Poales; Poaceae
Source: Rfam
AAAAUACUCCCUCCAUCCGAAAAAGUUUGUCUCUCAAAUGAAUGUAUCUACCAUCAAAUUGAUGCUAGAUACAUUCAUUUAAAAGACAAGUUUGGAACAAGAUUUUUCGGACGAAGAGAGUACUGU